Molecule: unclassified non-coding RNA, 253 nt
Filed under: uncultured Bacteriovoracaceae bacterium
Lineage: Bacteria; Pseudomonadati; Bdellovibrionota; Bacteriovoracia; Bacteriovoracales; Bacteriovoracaceae
Description: contains 16S-23S intergenic spacer region
Rfam family: Bacterial small subunit ribosomal RNA
Source: RNAcentral
UACGAAGGGUGCAAGCGUUGUUCGGAUUUAUUGGGCGUAAAGCGCGCGCAGGCGGAUUGAUAAGUCAGGUGUGAAAUCUCGGGGCUCAGCCUCGAAACUGCGCCUGAAACUAUUAAUCUAGAAUCUCAGAGGGGGUAGGGGAAUUUCACGUGUAGGGGUAAAAUCCGUAGAGAUGUGAAGGAACACCGGUGGCGAAGGCGCCUGCCUGGAUGAGUAUUGACGCUGAGGCGCGAAAGCGUGGGGAGCAAACAGG